GGCUGGUACAAUGGUAGUGGGUUAUCAGAACUUAUUAACAUUUGUGUCACCAAAAUUUGUAUUUUUAGGUACACCCACUGCUACAUUUGACUGACUUUAU
This is a Y RNA of Callithrix jacchus (white-tufted-ear marmoset), 100 nucleotides long. It matches the Rfam family "Y RNA". From Rfam's summary of the family: Y RNAs are components of the Ro ribonucleoprotein particle (Ro RNP), in association with Ro60 and La proteins. Lineage: Eukaryota; Metazoa; Chordata; Mammalia; Primates; Cebidae. The record is from Ensembl.